This is a long non-coding RNA of Aptenodytes forsteri (emperor penguin), 1300 nucleotides long. RefSeq lists it as uncharacterized. NCBI's taxonomy places the organism in Eukaryota, Metazoa, Chordata, Aves, Sphenisciformes, Spheniscidae. The transcript has 3 exons. The record is from RefSeq and is a predicted model, not a curated record.
AGGAACUGAUUAUGAGUCUGCUGACUUCAGAAGCCUUUGGAGCUGUUUCUUAGAGUUUAAGUCAUUCCUGUUUAUUCCUGCAACAUUCAGAAGGGCAAAGCGGGAGUUGUGAGUUCUGCACAAUGCACUCCUUGUACAGCGCAGACAGGGACUGGGAAUGUGCCUGCAGCAGCUUGUCAUGAAGUCCAGCAUGCGUCACUUGCCCUGGGGGGAAUGAAGAAGAGACUGCCAGACCCAUAGCUCCUCCCUCCUCUGAAAAUUCGAGAGGCAUCCGAAUAUUGCUGGAAAUCCUGUUGCUGGAACCAGGAGUUGUUUUCCAAGCAGGAGCCAUUGACGUGAACCAUGUAUUGAUUCAAACAUUCAGAUUAUAGCCAACCUCUUCAACAUGCCUUUUAUAAGAAGUGUCUAAAUAGGAAGUGUAUCAUGCCCUUACUCUAUUUGAAAAGACGCUUGAAAUCUAAAAAUGGCAGUAGCAAAGUAUUUGAACACCCUCAGCAUUAUUCCAGCCUCUAACUAGGCCAAGUUAUAAAUUUAUUAGCAGUAGCAGUAGUAUCCAUGCUUUUAUGUUUAAGUUUCUAAUUCUCUUAAGAUGGAGGGUGAUAUUCUCAUCUCCUUUGUAAAUGUGGAUAAAACAAAAUUGUUUCUUGUUCUAAGAGUAUAUGUGAACAAUAUCAGUGAUGACUGAUGAUGUUGUCAAGGAAGUCAGAGAUUAUUAAAACUAUGUAGAUAUAAAACUUUAAUUUUAAUGUCCCAAACCCUUUCAGAAGUUUGGGUAUUCAAACUAUUUAGACAUCAAAGCCAGCUGUAUUCUUCUAAAUAAAUUCUUGGAUCUGGACCACACUGUUUUCUUGGUUUUGUGGCCCUGAUCCCAUGGGUAUGAAAGCAAAUAAUACUUUUGACUUUUGCAUACUUUGUUUUGUAUCACAAAUAACCAAGAAAUCCCGUAUAUAGUAAAUCCCUCCUUCUCACUCAUACACACAAAUAAACAAGGAAAAAACCCUGUUUAGCUAACCUGACGUCCCUAACAUAAUUAUUUUUGCACUUAACUGCAGAGCAACACAUUCAAACUCUGAGGUUCCACGAAAAAUUUUCCUCUGGUUUUAUAAAUAAGCGAUUGUGUUUCUGCUUUCUGAAGGGUUCAUAAGGUGAAAACAUGCACUUUUUCCCUGUAUGGUUUUCCUUGCACACCCCAUGAAUACAAAACAUGUCUUAAGAAAUAAAGUUUGUUUGUUUGUUUUCAUUUAAAUAAAGUCUGGAAUGUAUGUAGUUUAAUAAAGGGAAUGUGCUGAAAGUAAAAGAC